AACGAACGCUGGCGGCGUGCUUAACACAUGCAAGUCGAACGCGAACGUUUUCUUCGGGAAACUAGUAGAGUGGCGCACGGGUGAGUAACGCGUAAGUAACCUACCCUCGCAUCUGGGAUAACCCACCGAAAGGUGUGCUAAUACCAGAUACGUCUGGAAUUAUACAUUGACUUCAGAGAAAGGUGGCCUCUGAUAUAAGCUACUGUGCGGGGAGGGGCUUGCGUACCAUUAGCUAGUUGGUAGGGUAACGGCCUACCAAGGCGAUGAUGGUUAGCGGGUCUGAGAGGAUGAUCCGCCACACUGGAACUGGAACACGGACCAGACUCCUACGGGAGGCAGCAGUGAGGAAUAUUGCGCAAUGGGGGCAACCCUGACGCAGCGACGCCGCGUGGAUGAUGAAGGCCUUCGGGUUGUAAAAUCCUGUCAGAUGGGAAGAAGUGGCAUUUAGUUAAUACCUGAGUGUCUUGACGGUACCAUCAAAGGAAGCACCGGCUAACUCCGUGCCAGCAGCCGCGGUAAUACGGAGGGUGCAAGCGUUGUUCGGAAUUACUGGGCGUAAAGCGCGCGUAGGCGGCUAUCUAAGUC
This 585-nucleotide ribosomal RNA is filed under the name uncultured bacterium. RNAcentral describes it as "bacterial SSU rRNA". It matches the Rfam family "Bacterial small subunit ribosomal RNA", at positions 28 to 589 of the family's 1533-position model. The record is from RNAcentral.